This 274-nucleotide ribosomal RNA is filed under the name uncultured bacterium. RNAcentral describes it as "partial 16S ribosomal RNA". It matches the Rfam family "Bacterial small subunit ribosomal RNA", at positions 523 to 796 of the family's 1533-position model. The record is from RNAcentral.
AUACGGGGGGUGCAAGCGUUAAUCGGAAUUACUGGGCGUAAAGCGCGCGUAGGCGGUUUGCUCAGUCGGAUGUGAAAGCCCAGGGCUCAACCUUGGAACUGCAUACGAUACUGGCAAACUAGAGUGUGAGAGAGGAUAGUGGAAUUUCCGGUGUAGCGGUGAAAUGCAUAGAUAUCAGAAGGAACAUCAGUGGCGAAGGCGACUGUCUGGCUCAACACUGACGCUGAGGUGCGAAAGCGUGGGUAGCAAACAGGAUUAGAAACCCUAGUAGUCC